GGCCUUUCUUGGAGAAACAAAUUGAAGAGGAAAAAUCUUCUAAAAAAAGAGGACGACGAUGAUGAGCGAGGAAAAUGAACUACCAAAAGCACUACAGCGUUUUGCUCGAAAGAAACCAACAACAUGAUUGUGACAAGGUUAGAUGUUUUUGGUGUUUUGUUUUUGCUUCUUAAGCAGUUCAUGAAUAUAUUUCAUCAAUCACGCUACGACAGUCAUGUAGUGAG
Molecule: long non-coding RNA, 224 nt
Filed under: Panax ginseng (ginseng)
Lineage: Eukaryota; Viridiplantae; Streptophyta; Magnoliopsida; Apiales; Araliaceae
Description: long non-coding RNA (PGIN_LNC003422)
Source: RNAcentral